This 443-nucleotide ribosomal RNA is filed under the name uncultured bacterium. RNAcentral describes it as "partial 16S ribosomal RNA". It matches the Rfam family "Bacterial small subunit ribosomal RNA", at positions 338 to 795 of the family's 1533-position model. The record is from RNAcentral.
CCUACGGGAGGCAGCGGUGGGGAAUAUUGGGCAAUGGGCGCAAGCCUGACCCAGCAACGCCGCGUGAAGGAAGAAGGCUCUCGGGUUGUAAACUUCUUUUAUCAGGGACGAAGCAAGUGACGGUACCUGAUGAAUAAGCCACGGCUAACUACGUGCCAACAGCCGCGGUAAUACGUAGGUGGCAAGCGUUAUCCGGAUUUACUGGGUGUAAAGGGCGUGUAGGCGGGAAAGCAAGUCAGAUGUGAAAACCAUGGGCUCAACCUGUGGCCUGAAUUUGAAACUGUUUUUCUUGAGUACUGGAGAGGCAGACGGAAUUCCUAGUGUAGCGGUGAAAUGCGUAGAUAGUAGGAGGAACACCAGUGGCGAAGGCGGUCUGCUGGACAGCAACUGACGCUGAGGCGCGAAAGCGUGGGGAGCAAACAGGAUUAGAUACCCGGGUAGUC